CCUACGGGUGGCAGCAGUGAGGAAUAUUGGUCAAUGGACGAGAGUCUGAACCAGCCAAGUAGCGUGAAGGAUGACUGCCCUAUGGGUUGUAAACUUCUUUUAUAUGGGAAUAAAAUGUUCCACGUGUGGGAUUUUGUAUGUACCAUAUGUAUAAGGAUCGGCUAACUCCGUGCCAGCAGCCGCGGUAAUACGGAGGAUCCGAGCGUUAUCCGGAUUUAUUGGGUUUAAAGGGAGCGUAGGUGGAUUGUUAAGUCAGUUGUGAAAGUUUGCGGCUCAACCGUAAAAUUGCAGUUGAAACUGGCAGUCUUGAGUACAGUAGAGGUGGGCGGAAUUCGUGGUGUAGCGGUGAAAUGCUUAGAUAUCACGAAGAACUCCGAUUGCGAAGGCAGUUCACUGGACUGCAACUGACACUGAGGCUCGAAAGUGUGGGUAUCAAACAGGAUUAGAUACCCGUGUAGUC
RNAcentral lists this ribosomal RNA (460 nucleotides) under uncultured bacterium. Its description in RNAcentral is "partial 16S ribosomal RNA". It matches the Rfam family "Bacterial small subunit ribosomal RNA", at positions 338 to 795 of the family's 1533-position model. The record is from RNAcentral.